GCACAAGCAGUGGAGUAUGUGGUUUAAUUCGAAGCAACGCGAAGAACCUUACCAGGUCUUGACAUCCGAUGCAUAGCACAGAGAUGUGUGAAAUCCUUCGGGACAUCGAGACAGGUGGUGCAUGGUUGUCGUCAGCUCGUGUCGUGAGAUGUUGGGUUAAGUCCCGCAACGAGCGCAACCCUUAUUGCCAGUUACUACGUUAAGAGGACUCUGGCGAGAUUGCCGUUGACAAAA
Molecule: ribosomal RNA, 234 nt
Filed under: uncultured bacterium
Lineage: Bacteria
Description: partial 16S ribosomal RNA
Rfam family: Bacterial small subunit ribosomal RNA
Source: RNAcentral